AGCGGCGGACGGGUGAGUAACGCGUGGGUAACCUGCCUCAUACAGGGGGAUAGCAGUUGGAAACGGCUGCUAAUACCGCAUAAGCGCACAGUACCGCAUGGUACGGUGUGAAAAACUCCGGUGGUAUGAGAUGGACCCGCGUCUGAUUAGGUAGUUGGUGGGGUAACGGCCUACCAAGCCGACGAUCAGUAGCCGACCUGAGAGGGUGACCGGCCACAUUGGGACUGAGACACGGCCCAA
RNAcentral lists this ribosomal RNA (240 nucleotides) under uncultured bacterium. RNAcentral describes it as "partial 16S ribosomal RNA". It matches the Rfam family "Bacterial small subunit ribosomal RNA", at positions 94 to 334 of the family's 1533-position model. The record is from RNAcentral.